RNAcentral lists this ribosomal RNA (429 nucleotides) under Gemmatimonadota bacterium. RNAcentral describes it as "Gemmatimonadetes bacterium partial 16S ribosomal RNA". It matches the Rfam family "Bacterial small subunit ribosomal RNA", at positions 355 to 776 of the family's 1533-position model. The record is from RNAcentral. Lineage: Bacteria; Pseudomonadati; Gemmatimonadota.
UAGGGAAUCUUCGGCAAUGGACGAAAGUCUGACCGAGCAACGCCGCGUGAGUGAAGAAGGUUUUCGGAUCGUAAAACUCUGUUGUUAGAGAAGAACAAGGACGUUAGUAACUGAACGUCCCCUGACGGUAUCUAACCAGAAAGCCACGGCUAACUACGUGCCAGCAGCCGCGGUAAUACGUAGGUGGCAAGCGUUGUCCGGAUUUAUUGGGCGUAAAGCGAGCGCAGGCGGUUUCUUAAGUCUGAUGUGAAAGCCCCCGGCUCAACCGGGGAGGGUCAUUGGAAACUGGGAGACUUGAGUGCAGAAGAGGAGAGUGGAAUUCCAAGUGUAGCGGUGAAAUGCGUAGAGAUAUGAAGGAACACCAGUGGCGAAGGCGGCUCUCUGGUCUGUAACUGACGCUGAGGCUCGAAAGCGUGGGGAGCAAACAGG